Long non-coding RNA from Aquila chrysaetos chrysaetos, 326 nucleotides. RefSeq lists it as uncharacterized. The transcript is spliced from 3 exons. Lineage: Eukaryota; Metazoa; Chordata; Aves; Accipitriformes; Accipitridae. The record is from RefSeq and is a predicted model, not a curated record.
UAAGGGUUGCUAAGAUGAGAAGAAUCGUUUGCCUGGAGCAGCCGGAGGAAAAGAGUGGAAGACUAAAAGAAGGAGCUGGGAAAAAACGUUCUGAUGGCUAUUUCAUUCACUGAAAAACACAGGAGAUACCUUGAAGAGACUUUGCGGAACUUGAUGCCUCUGUUCAGAUUGGCAGUGAAAAACUGAAAUACCACAGAUGAAGAGUGAGUUCAGCUGGAUGGAAUGUGAUGAUGACUGAGAACUUCCAAAACUUUCCAGUUUCCCAAAUGGUGACAAGAACCUGCUGGGCCUGUGAAGACAGCUGUUGCUCUUGGUGGAGAGGAUGG